RNAcentral lists this ribosomal RNA (484 nucleotides) under uncultured bacterium. RNAcentral describes it as "partial 16S ribosomal RNA". It matches the Rfam family "Bacterial small subunit ribosomal RNA", at positions 30 to 507 of the family's 1533-position model. The record is from RNAcentral.
AUUGAACGCUGGCGGCAGGCCUAACACAUGCAAGUCGAACGGAUGAAGGGAGCUUGCUCCUGGUUUCAGGGGCGGAGGGGAGGGUAGUGCCUAAGAAUCUCCCUGGUAGUGGGGGCUAACGUCCGGAAAUGGGCGCUAAUACCGCAAACGUCCAGAGGGAGAAAGUGGGUGAUCUUCGGACCUCACGCUCUCAGAUGAGCCUAGGUCGGAUUAGCUAGUUGGUGGGGUAAAGGCCUACCAAGGCGACGAUCCGUAACUGGUCUGAGAGGAUGAUCAGCCACACUGGAACUGAGACACGGUCCAGACUCCUACGGGAGGCAGCAGUGGGGAAUAUUGGACAAUGGGCGAAAGCCUGAUCCAGCCAUGCCGCGUGUGUGAAGAAGGUCUUCGGGUUGUAAAGCACUUUUGGUUGGGAAGAAGAGCAGUAAGUUAAUACCUUGCUGUUUUGACGUUACCAACAGAAUAAGCACCGGCUAACUUCGUG